UGGGUCGGCUGGACGGUCGCGGCAUUGCCGAGGAACGUCCGGGCUCCAAAGAGCACGGUGGUGGGUAACGCCCACCUGGGGUAACCCAAGAGAUAGUGCAACAGAAAGUAAACCGCCCCCUAGGGGGUAAGGGUGAAACGGUGGUGUAAGAGACCACCAGCGGAUUAGGAGACUAGUUCGGCUAGGUAAACCUCACCGGGAGCAAGACCAAGUAAGAAGACGCUAAGGACUGCUCGUUUAGUCUUCGGGUAGGUCGCUAGAGCCACUUAGCAAUUUGUGGCCGAGAUAGAUGGCCGUCAGUGCUUAGGCAUUACAGAACCCGGCGUAUCGGCCGACCCAUCUC
Molecule: non-coding RNA, 343 nt
Organism: Candidatus Aquiluna sp. IMCC13023
Lineage: Bacteria; Bacillati; Actinomycetota; Actinomycetes; Micrococcales; Microbacteriaceae
Rfam family: Bacterial RNase P class A
About the family: Ribonuclease P (RNase P) is a ubiquitous endoribonuclease, found in archaea, bacteria and eukarya as well as chloroplasts and mitochondria.
Source: Rfam